RNAcentral lists this small nuclear RNA (131 nucleotides) under Ammothella biunguiculata. RNAcentral's name for it is "partial U2 snRNA". It matches the Rfam family "U2 spliceosomal RNA", at positions 25 to 155 of the family's 192-position model. Rfam says of the family: U2 is a small nuclear RNA (snRNA) component of the spliceosome (involved in pre-mRNA splicing). Lineage: Eukaryota; Metazoa; Arthropoda; Pycnogonida; Pantopoda; Ammotheidae. The record is from RNAcentral.
GAUCAAAGUGUAGUAUCUGUUCUUAUCAGCUUAAUAUCUGAUACGCAUCCGAUNAGGAGCCAGAAUAUUAAACUUAUUUUUGGGAACUGGCGGAGUGCUAGGAGCUUGCUCCACCUCUGCCGCGGGUUGGC